This 290-nucleotide long non-coding RNA is filed under the name Capsicum annuum. RNAcentral's name for it is "long non-coding RNA (CANN_LNC009215)". Lineage: Eukaryota; Viridiplantae; Streptophyta; Magnoliopsida; Solanales; Solanaceae. The record is from RNAcentral.
CCACAUUGAUGCACCUGAACCAGACAGCAGUGCUAAAUGGUCUUCAAAUCUGGUGAAGCCAUCAUCUUUUUUUGGUCCUCCACCUGCCUCUUCUCCGCUGAUGCCUCCCAUUUCUUCAUCGGUGCCCACUGCUCCUCCACUUCUUCCACUUGGGAAUCUCCAGCGCCCUUAUGGAGCUCCUUUGCUUCAACCAUUUCCUCCGCCCACUCCUCCUCCAUCUCUCACGCCUACUUCUUCUCCUAUCCCAAACUAUGGACCUGUUGUUAGCAGAGACAAAGUGCGUGAAGCAC